AUGGACUGGCUGGGUGAAGGGGGGGAGGCACCAGCUGGGGGACCCCCAAGGGAAGAAGGCUCGGAGUCCGGGUCUUGUAUGCCCCCUAAGGCUAUCAAAACUCCUAGGUCUGGCCAAUUAAAGGCUGAUAUGGGAGCCGUUGGGGGCCAGAUCAGUUAUUUCUUUUUCGCCUCUCCUCUGGAAAAGUGCUCUUUCUUCUGGGGUUUGAUUACUUUUGCCUCCUUCAGUGCCCACUGCAUCCUCAGCGCGGUGCAAUACUGUCCUUUCAACUUAUGUAGGGCUCUCUCUCAGGACCGCUACCCAGGAGUCUGCCUAUGCAAACUGCUCCGAACAUCCAGGGUUUUUGGUCACGCUUCAAAAGACCUGGUUGGUUUGCUCCAGGUCCCACGAGCCGGGGGGGUGGGGCAGCAGGGAGUUCUUAGUCGUUUGAGGUUCAUUGCUCCGCCAUAUUUGUGCUUGAAUUUGCCAAAAUUAUUCACCAUGCCUUGUAAUGGAGUCCAUUCCUCCUGUGAGUGUGACACCCCCCAUUAUGCCCUCCUGCUUAAGUUGUUACACAAGGGGGACUCCCUGCCUUCUGACAUGUUGCAGAUAAAAUAAAAGGUGUGGGGGGGAGCCUUUUGAAAAGAGACUGGUGGCCAGCAAGGCCCACAGUGAGAAAGCCUAUAGAAAGAAAAGACUCAUAAAUAAAUGCCCCCCUCGGCUGCACAGCCCGCCAGUCCUGGGCAGAGAACUCGCAGUUGUGCCAAGGGGGGAGAGAGCCUGAUCUCUUCAGCCCCAGCCCUCAGCCAGACAGGAGCCUUCAAGAAAAACACAGUGUGAGGAAACCCCCCCCACCCUCUUGGCCGAGCUUGAGACAAUACAUAGACAUUCACAGAGCUGGAAGCCUGCUGUUGCCUGGAUGAGGCACCCACAGCUGGCAGUCCACUGCUGCCGGGGAGGGGGGCGGGUCCACAAACACACACACACACACAGAGAGAGAGAGAGAGAGAGAGAGAGAGAGAGAGAGAGAGCUGGCCCCCCAGCCCAGCUCCCCUGGCUGAGCUGGAGACAAAAGCGUCAAUACAAAACACACAAAAAAGAAAGCUCUCCCCCCCCCCCAAAUGUGCAAUUUAACUGUGAGCAAAACACACAGAGCAGCCCCCCUUGACUGUGACACACAGAGAGCUGGGGGGCACUGCUCCCUCAGUUGAGGCACCCACAGCUGGGUGGGUUCAAAGAAAGCCUCAAUUUAUCUGAGUCACAGCACCAAAUGUAUACACUGGUACCUCGGGUUACAUACGCUUCAGGUUACAGACUCCGCUAACCCAGAAAUAGUACCUCAGGUUAAUAACGUUGCUUCAGCAUGAGAACAGAAAUCAUGCUCUGCCGGCGCGGCGGCAGCAGGAGGCUCCAUUAGCUAAAGUGGUGCUUCAGGUUAAGAACAGUUUCAGGUUAAGAACGGACCUCCAGAAUGAAUUAAGUUCUUAACCCGAGGUACCACUGUACCUCCAAAGGCUAUAAAAACUCCUAUUAAAGGUAAAGGCACCCCUGACCAUUAGGUCCAGUCGUGGCCGACUCUGGUGUUGCGGCGCUCAUCUCGCUUUACUGGCUGAGGGAGCCGGUGUACAGCUUCCGGGUCAUGUGGCCAGCAUGACAAAGCCGCUUCUGGCAAACCAGAGCAGAGCACGGGAACGCCGUUUACCUUCCCGCUGGAGUGGUACCUAUUUAUCUACUUGCACUUUGACGUGCUUUCGAACUGCUAGGUUGGCAGGAGCAGGGACCGAGCAACGGGAGCGAUGGGAGCUCACCCCGUCAUCGUGGGGCUUUGAACAGCUCACUGAAGAACCCCGACCAAACCUAAGAGGAGGUGUGUAGUGGUGACAGGGGAUUCCCUACUGAGGGGAACAGAAGCAGUGAUCUGUGGGCCUGACAAGAUUUCUCGGGAGGUGUGCUGUCUCACCGGGGCUAAGAUCCAAGAUGUAACUGAAUGACUGCAAGGAAUCAUAAAACCCACUGACAAAUACCCCUUCCUCUUGGUUCAUGUGGGAACCAAUGACACUGCAAGCAAUAGCCUCCAGAAGAUCAAAAGAGACUACGAGGCUCUGGGCAGGAAAUUGAAGCAAUUAAAUGCACAAAUUGUCAUCUCAUCUGUCCUCCCAGUUGAACGACGUGGCCCAGGGAGAGAGGGGGAAAUAGUGGAAGUGAACAGCUGGCUUCGCAAAUGGUGUAAACAGGAACGGUUUGGAUUCUUAGAUCACGGACUGCAGUUUCUUGAAAAUGGACUUCUGGCAAGCGAUGGGCUGCACCUCACAACGGUUGGGAGAAAUGUUUUUGCCAAAAAUCUCAGAAACUUCAUCAG
RNAcentral lists this long non-coding RNA (2338 nucleotides) under Podarcis muralis (Common wall lizard). Its description in RNAcentral is "lncRNA (ENSPMRG00000009012.1)". The record is from RNAcentral. Lineage: Eukaryota; Metazoa; Chordata; Lepidosauria; Squamata; Lacertidae.